RNAcentral lists this ribosomal RNA (402 nucleotides) under Triticum aestivum (bread wheat). RNAcentral describes it as "partial small subunit ribosomal RNA". The record is from RNAcentral. Lineage: Eukaryota; Viridiplantae; Streptophyta; Magnoliopsida; Poales; Poaceae.
AUGGAUAGGCAAGGCAUUUCAUCUCCGGUCUUCCACGACAACGACAACGCGAACAUCUACAUAACCAAAACUUCCAUCUUCGUACUACAACAAGCAAUGCAAGGCAUUGAGCGACUCUCCAUCGACAUUCGCCAAAACGAAGCAAAGAUAAGGUACUACCUCGACACCAAGUUGGCCAAACAAAGGGAUCAAGUACGAGACAUGGUGGCCAACUACAAGUCUUCUUCCCCUUCGUCAUCUUCAAGGCGACGACGCUCAAGUGGCCAAUCUCAGGAACGCCAUCGAGCUCAAGCACUACAACACCAUCAAGAUGAAGAUGCUCGCGAUGCGUACACCUACAAGUCCCAAAAAGCUCUACAUCAAGCUAUGGCCAAACUUCAUGAGCACAAGAGAAGACCGUGA